RNAcentral lists this ribosomal RNA (253 nucleotides) under uncultured bacterium. RNAcentral's name for it is "partial 16S ribosomal RNA". It matches the Rfam family "Bacterial small subunit ribosomal RNA", at positions 524 to 776 of the family's 1533-position model. The record is from RNAcentral.
UACGAAGGGUGCAAGCGUUACUCGGAAUUACUGGGCGUAAAGGGUGCGUAGGCGGUCGUUUAAGUCCGUUGUGAAAGCCCUGGGCUCAACCUGGGAAUGGCAGUGGAUACUGGACGGCUAGAAUGCGGUAGAGGGUAGUGGAAUUCCCGGUGUAGCAGUGAAAUGCGUAGAGAUCGGGAGGAACACCAGUGGCGAAGGCGGCUUCCUGGACCAGCACUGACACUCAAGCACGAAAGCGUGGGGAGCAAACAGG